GUGGGCACGUCCGUGACACCAGUCUUGCUCUUUGCCCGUGUUUUCUUCUUGACCUCUGUUCUUCACUCAUCUCACACCUUCUCCACCACCGCCCUUCAUUUUGUCCUGCUUAUUUUUGUCUCUUCUUCUUCAUGGUUAUGUAACGCGGCGCAUAAGAAUGCCGCUGGCUGCCAGGACCGAGCGGACCCUGACAGCUGGAGGAUUGAUGGCAGACUGCUGCAGUCUGGAGACCACACACAAGGAGAGGCCGCCGCGAAGUUGCAGAAAAUAGGAAAAAGAAAACAGUUGGAGGACAGAAUGAACGAGCGAGUUCAAGUAAACGACACAUACUGCCCAUCGAUGUUAAAAAUCUGUGUGCACGCUGUCUCAGCAAAACCCAAAAAGUGACUCACUGAUGAAGGUGUCUUUAUGCAGCUAACGACCUCACACAGGUGCAUAUGAUGCAGGAUAAGACAUGGAGUGGAGGUGGACUUUUAAAGGCGGACUAACA
This is a long non-coding RNA of Syngnathoides biaculeatus (alligator pipefish), 490 nucleotides long. RefSeq lists it as uncharacterized. NCBI's taxonomy places the organism in Eukaryota, Metazoa, Chordata, Actinopteri, Syngnathiformes, Syngnathidae. The record is from RefSeq and is a predicted model, not a curated record. The transcript has 3 exons.